Molecule: ribosomal RNA, 253 nt
Filed under: uncultured bacterium
Lineage: Bacteria
Description: partial 16S ribosomal RNA
Rfam family: Bacterial small subunit ribosomal RNA
Source: RNAcentral
UACGGAGGGAGCUAGCGUUGUUCGGAAUUACUGGGCGUAAAGCGCGCGUAGGCGGCUUUGUAAGUUAAAGGUGAAAGCCCGGGGCUCAACCCCGGAAUUGCCUUUAAGACUGCAUCGCUUGAAUCCGGGAGAGGUGAGUGGAAUUCCGAGUGUAGAGGUGAAAUUCGUAGAUAUUCGGAAGAACACCAGUGGCGAAGGCGGCUCACUGGACCGGCAUUGACGCUGAGGUGCGAAAGCGUGGGGAGCAAACAGG